Long non-coding RNA from Micropterus dolomieu (smallmouth bass), 730 nucleotides. RefSeq lists it as uncharacterized. The transcript has 4 exons. The record is from RefSeq and is a predicted model, not a curated record. NCBI's taxonomy places the organism in Eukaryota, Metazoa, Chordata, Actinopteri, Centrarchiformes, Centrarchidae.
UGUCAAUGCCACUUAAAAAUAGGUGUGAAUGCCCUUUGGGGCUUAUUAAUUACAUAGCAAUGUGAUAUCGAAGACAACUGCAACAAUCUCAUUAGGCCUCACAUUGUUAGUAUAGUCCAGGGGGUCAUAUUUGCCCUCUCUGAGGGCCCGCCAUCGAUCAUGAAACUCCUCGCUCAUGCUGAAGACCAUCUCACUGAGGACUUUCCCUCUGGAUCCACCCAGUUCAACCUUCUCCAGUUUAAGAAAGUCCAGGGCUGUUGCAAAAAGUUCCUAUAGAUGAGGGGAGAAAAGCCACUGAUGAGUCACGGUGAUAGAAUGGAGAGCUAUGCUUGUCAACCCAUGCACCUCAAUCAUAAGCAGCCUUUCCAUGAUGCAGUCUGAACGCUGGAACACAAGUGAAGCCGGAAAAUCCCACAGCUUGAUGGUCUGAGUGUGUCUGUAGUACUUGGGGAUCCGCUGGCGCUCCAUCUUAAACAGCUCUUCAGGGAUUAGGUAGGCAAUGGCCUUGAUACAGAUGCACAAUCAUUGAGAAGAUCAGUUGUUUAGUUGCAGAACUCCUGCAGGAGGACCACCAUGCGUUGAGGAGUGCAGUAGUAUUGGGAACGGCUCCAGAUGAGACAGAGUGUGUGGAAAAGAGGAGGCAGUAGAGCAUCGACCUGUGGGAAACUCCUCUCUUCUAGGCUGCUGAUCAGUCUCCUCAGAGGGCGCAGAUACAGAUCUAUGUCCUCGG